RNAcentral lists this ribosomal RNA (497 nucleotides) under uncultured bacterium. Its description in RNAcentral is "partial 16S ribosomal RNA". It matches the Rfam family "Bacterial small subunit ribosomal RNA", at positions 28 to 507 of the family's 1533-position model. The record is from RNAcentral.
GAUGAACGCUGGCGGCGUGCCUAACACAUGCAAGUCGAGCGAACAGACGAGGAGCUUGCUCCUCUGACGUUAGCGGCGGACGGGUGAGUAACACGUGGAUAAUCUACCUAUAAGACUGGUAUAACUUCGGGAAACCGGAGCUAAUCCCGGAUAAUCUAUUGCACCGCAUGGUUCAAUAGUGAAAGACGGUUUUGCUGUCACUUAUAGAUGGUUCCGCGCCGCAUUAGCUAGUUGGUAAGUUAACGGCUUAUCAAGGCAACCAUGCGUAGCCGACCUGAGAGAGUGGUCGGCGGCACUGGAGCGGGAACGCGGUCCAUGCGCCUACGGGAGGGAGCAGUAGGGAACCGUCCGCAGUGGGCGAAAGUAUGGCGGAGCGGCGGCAAGCGAGUUAUGAAGGUGCUGGGAUCGUGAAACUCUGUUACUAGUGGAGAACAAAUGUGUAAGUAACUAUGCACGGCUUGACGGUACUGAAUCAGAAAGCCACGGCUAACUACGUG